Molecule: ribosomal RNA, 1053 nt
Filed under: uncultured bacterium
Lineage: Bacteria
Description: partial 16S ribosomal RNA
Source: RNAcentral
ACGUUCUUCGGGGCGAAAACUCUCAAGGAUCUUACCGCUGUUGAGAUCCAGUUCGAUGUAACCCACUCGUGCACCCAACUGAUCUUCAGCAUCUUUUACUUUCACCAGCGUUUCUGGGUGAGCAAAAACAGGAAGGCAAAAUGCCGCAAAAAAGGGAAUAAGGGCGACACGGAAAUGUUGAAUACUCAUACUCUUCCUUUUUCAAUAUUAUUGAAGCAUUUAUCAGGGUUAUUGUCUCAUGAGCGGAUACAUAUUUGAAUGUAUUUAGAAAAAUAAACAAAUAGGGGUUCCGCGCACAUUUCCCCGAAAAGUGCCACCUGACGUCUAAGAAACCAUUAUUAUCAUGACAUUAACCUAUAAAAAUAGGCGUAUCACGAGGCCCUUUCGUCUCGCGCGUUUCGGUGAUGACGGUGAAAACCUCUGACACAUGCAGCUCCCGGAGACGGUCACAGCUUGUCUGUAAGCGGAUGCCGGGAGCAGACAAGCCCGUCAGGGCGCGUCAGCGGGUGUUGGCGGGUGUCGGGGCUGGCUUAACUAUGCGGCAUCAGAGCAGAUUGUACUGAGAGUGCACCAUAUGCGGUGUGAAAUACCGCACAGAUGCGUAAGGAGAAAAUACCGCAUCAGGCGCCAUUCGCCAUUCAGGCUGCGCAACUGUUGGGAAGGGCGAUCGGUGCGGGCCUCUUCGCUAUUACGCCAGCUGGCGAAAGGGGGAUGUGCUGCAAGGCGAUUAAGUUGGGUAACGCCAGGGUUUUCCCAGUCACGACGUUGUAAAACGACGGCCAGUGAAUUCGAGCUCGGUACCGUAAUACGACUCACUAUAGGGCGACAUAUGAUCGAUGAUAUCCCAUGGGCGGCCGCCUGCAGACCAGGUCUACCGAAACCAGUUACGAACGGGCAUACAAUACCAAAGCCCACUUCCAGGAUUUUGCCCGCGGUUUGGGUUACCAGAUGAUAAGUGCCGGCAACAAUAGUCAAGACUGGAGAUCUGGAUCCCUCGAGUCUAGAGUCGACCUGCAGGCAUGCAAGCUGGCGUAAUCAUUGUCCAAGUCCCUU